RNAcentral lists this non-coding RNA (28 nucleotides) under Homo sapiens (human). The record is from RNAcentral. Lineage: Eukaryota; Metazoa; Chordata; Mammalia; Primates; Hominidae.
GACAAGGACAUGAGACAGUGGUGAUGGC